GAAUGGGUACAGCCACUGUUUUAGAUAGGAAGUUGAUAAGGUAGGAUGCAUAAGGUUAUUUAAUUUAUAUCUGUAAUCACCGACAAACCAUUGCUAAUUUGUUUUUUGAUUGGUGUAAGAUUUCUGGAAAAAAAUUGCUUCACAGACAGAAAAAACUAAAUAAUAAAAAAAUAUCAUAGUACAACCAAUCAUCGCUCCACUCCUCUAUUUUACCUUGAAAAUCUUGUAUUUAAUGCUCGUUAAACAAUUAAUUAUUUGUGGAGGAAAAACUUUUGAAUAGUCUAGUCUGAGGGCGAGGAACCUAAAUCCCCCUCUGGGUCCCCUACUGACGGUGGUUUGCGAAAAAGUAAGUCGUUAAAACUCUUCCCGAAUUCAUUUCAAUAAGCGACUUUU
Molecule: non-coding RNA, 393 nt
Organism: Cinara cedri
Lineage: Eukaryota; Metazoa; Arthropoda; Insecta; Hemiptera; Aphididae
Source: the annotation of a GenBank genome assembly